GGGAAGAGGACACACAGUUUUUGAAGACUUGGAACGAAUCAGAGGAGCCAGACAUCGAGGACACACCCAUUGGUAUUGUCACGAUGAUCAGAGAAAGAAGUGCAUCUCCCGUUCACUUCAGUCCCGUAUCCACAGCCAUUGUGGUGGAAGAUGAAUUCAUCAUGAGGGACAUUGCCACGUUUGCCGAUGCGUAUGUGUUACUGUUUGGGCUGGUGUAUGUGUUACAUCUCGACUACCCAAAGAAGCUUGUUGGCACCUUCACUUUCAUACAAAAGGUUCUAAUGGGGUUGGAUGACGGUGCACCCCUGAAACCUGCUCUGCUCUCUUUGAAAAAUGACCUGCUUACAGUGUAGACGUUACCUGUAUGAUACAUGUUUGUUGUUACAUUGAUUUAUGUUCCUUUUUGGUUAUUUAUUUGAUUUAUUUUUUAUUCAUGUUCAAUGACUUGAUAUCUGAUAUCCUGAUAUUUACUUUUUGGUUAUUUAUUUAAUUUAUUUUUUAUUCAUUUCAAAUUAUUUCCUUGAAUGGCCAUAGAUGUAAAAAAAACUUGAAGAUGCUGUUUUGAAAGGCCAUACCUUUACACUGAGCACAAGUUCCAAAUGCUUUUAUACAAACAUUUAAACAUUUGCAGUGAUUUAUACAUAGCCAUACAAAUCUGUUUUUAUAUAAUGUAUUUGUGGAUGUAUAUGUUGACGGUUCAUGAUAUGCAAGGUAUCCUUCAACCAAACGGGGUGUGUUUACAUUUUCAGAUUGUGCAUUUGUUGGCCUUGUUUUACUGGCCUGGUUUUACAAGUUGGAUGUCCAUGGUUAACAUACAGAUGUGUGUAUGUGGUGUUUGUAUACUUACAGCUCUGUUGCUGUGACCAAAGUGGUUUGGAGAAAAAGAAUAAAAUCUGAAUAAAAACAUUGAAAUAUUCUAA
This is a long non-coding RNA of Gadus morhua (Atlantic cod), 920 nucleotides long. RefSeq lists it as uncharacterized. The record is from RefSeq and is a predicted model, not a curated record. The transcript is spliced from 2 exons. NCBI's taxonomy places the organism in Eukaryota, Metazoa, Chordata, Actinopteri, Gadiformes, Gadidae.